GGGGAAUAUUGCGCAAUGGGCGAAAGCCUGACGCAGCGACGCCGCGUGAGGGAUGAAGGCCUUCGGGUCGUAAACCUCUGUCAGGAGGGAAGAACCGCUAUGGUAGUAACUGACCAUAGUCUGACGGUACCUCCAAAGGAAGCACCGGCUAACUCCGUGCCAGCAGCCGCGGUAAUACGGAGGGUGCGAGCGUUAAUCGGAAUCACUGGGCGUAAAGCGCGCGUAGGCGGCUUUGCAAGUCAGGGGUGAAAUCCCUCCGCUCACCGGAGGAAUUGCCUUUGAAACUGUGAGGCUUGAGUUUGUGAGAGGAUGGCGGAAUUCCAGGUGUAGGGGUGAAAUCCGUAGAGAUCUGGAGGAACAUCAGUGGCGAAGGCGGCUAUCUGGCACAAUACUGACGCUGAGGUGCGAAAGCGUGGGGAGCAAAC
Molecule: ribosomal RNA, 425 nt
Filed under: uncultured bacterium
Lineage: Bacteria
Description: bacterial SSU rRNA
Rfam family: Bacterial small subunit ribosomal RNA
Source: RNAcentral